RNAcentral lists this ribosomal RNA (253 nucleotides) under uncultured bacterium. Its description in RNAcentral is "partial 16S ribosomal RNA". It matches the Rfam family "Bacterial small subunit ribosomal RNA", at positions 524 to 776 of the family's 1533-position model. The record is from RNAcentral.
GACAGAGGGUGCAAACGUUGUUCGGAAUUACUGGGCGUAAAGCGCGUGUAGGCGGUCGUGCAAGUCGGGUGUGAAAGCCCUGGGCUCAACCCAGGAAGUGCAUUCGAUACUGCUCGACUGGAGUCCCGGAGAGGAUGGUGGAACUCUCGGUGUAGAGGUGAAAUUCGUAGAUAUCGAGAAGAACACCGGUGGCGAAGGCGGCCAUCUGGACGGUGACUGACGCUGAGACGCGAAAGCGUGGGGAGCAAACAGG